AGUGAACGCUGGCGGUAGGCCUAACACAUGCAAGUCGAACGGCAGCACAGUAAGAGCUUGCUCUUACGGGUGGCGGGUGGCGGACGGGUGAGGAAUACAUCGGAAUCUACUUUUUCGUGGGGGAUAACGUAGGGAAACUUACGCUAAUACCGCAUACGACCUACGGGUGAAAGCAGGGGAUCUUCGGACCUUGCGCGAUUGAAUGAGCCGAUGUCGGAUUAGCUAGUUGGCGGGGUAAAGGCCCACCAAGGCGACGAUCCGUAGCUGGUCUGAGAGGAUGAUCAGCCACACUGGAACUGAGACACGGUCCAGACUCCUACGGGAGGCAGCAGUGGGGAAUAUUGGACAAUGGGCGCAAGCCUGAUCCAGCCAUACCGCGUGGGUGAAGAAGACCUUCGGGUUGUAAAGCCCUUUUGUUGGGAAAGAAAAGCAGCAGGUUAAUACCCCGCUGUUCUGACGGUACCCAAAGAAUAAGCACCGGCUAACUUCGUG
RNAcentral lists this ribosomal RNA (492 nucleotides) under uncultured bacterium. RNAcentral describes it as "partial 16S ribosomal RNA". It matches the Rfam family "Bacterial small subunit ribosomal RNA", at positions 29 to 507 of the family's 1533-position model. The record is from RNAcentral.